CAGCAGCAGGGAUAUUACAGCUAAUACAACUCCCAUGACAUCUGGUUGGACCCCUCAAUGCGUCAGCUCUCAAAGGUAUGCUGGGAGGUACACAGACAACUCUCUCGUUUAGCAAAGUCAAUUCCUUUCUCCAGUGAUUCCUAAUUCUUAUUUCUCUUGUUUCAGUUUGAUUAUUCAGUUCAUGGAUCAUUGUUGGCAGGUG
This 202-nucleotide unclassified non-coding RNA is filed under the name Hevea brasiliensis (rubber tree). The record is from RNAcentral. Lineage: Eukaryota; Viridiplantae; Streptophyta; Magnoliopsida; Malpighiales; Euphorbiaceae.